This 465-nucleotide ribosomal RNA is filed under the name uncultured bacterium. RNAcentral describes it as "partial 16S ribosomal RNA". It matches the Rfam family "Bacterial small subunit ribosomal RNA", at positions 338 to 795 of the family's 1533-position model. The record is from RNAcentral.
CCUACGGGGGGCAGCAGUGGGGAAUUUUGCGCAAUGCUCGUAAGAGUGACGCAGCGACGCCGCGUGAAUGACGAAGGCCUUCGGGUCGUAAAGUUCUUUCGACAGGGAAGAAAAUGCCUAUAAGUAACUGUGUAUGAAUUGACGGUACCUGUAUAAGCAGCCCCGGUUAACUCCGUGCCAGCAGCCGCGGUAAUACGGAGGGGGCGAGCGUUGUUCGGAGUGACUGGGCGUAAAGGGCACGUAGGCGGUGUUGUAAGUCAUUAGUCAAAGACUAGAGCUCAACUUUAGUAAGGCUAGUGAUACUAUAAUACUGGAGUAUCAGAGAGGAAGGCAGAAUUCCUGGUGUAGCGGUGAAAUGCGUAGAUAUCAGGAGGAAUACCGUUAGCGAAGGCGGCAAUCUGGCUGGAAACUGACGCUGAGGUGCGAAAGCGUGGGUAGCAAACAGGAUUAGAUACCCGGGUAGUC